This 497-nucleotide ribosomal RNA is filed under the name uncultured bacterium. RNAcentral describes it as "partial 16S ribosomal RNA". It matches the Rfam family "Bacterial small subunit ribosomal RNA", at positions 28 to 507 of the family's 1533-position model. The record is from RNAcentral.
GAUGAACGCUGGCGGCGUGCCUAAUACAUGCAAGUCGAGCGAACAGACGAGGAGCUUGCUCCUCUGACGUUAGCGGCGGACGGGUGAGUAACACGUGGAUAACCUACCUAUAAGACUGGGAUAACUUCGGGAAACCGGAGCUAAUACCGGAUAAUAUAUUGAACCGCAUGGUUCAAUAGUGAAAGACGGUUUUGCUGUCACUUAUAGAUGGAUCCGCGCCGCAUUAGCUAGUUGGUAAGGUAACGGCUUACCAAGGCGACGAUGCGUAGCCGACCUGAGAGGGUGAUCGGCCACACUGGAACUGAGACACGGUCCAGACUCCUACGGGAGGCAGCAGUAGGGAAUCUUCCGCAAUGGGCGAAAGCCUGACGGAGCAACGCCGCGUGAGUGAAGAAGGUCUUCGGAUCGUAAAACUCUGUUAUUAGGGAAGAACAAAUGUGUAAGUAACUAUGCACGUCUUGACGGUACCUAAUCAGAAAGCCACGGCUAACUACGUG